UACUUGUCUUUCUCUGACUGGCUUAUUAUUUCACUCGGCAUAAUGCUCUCCAGGCCCCUCGCGCUGUCGCAAAGGGUGAGACUUCCUUCCCUUUGCAGCCGAGUGCUGCUUCGCUGUGUGAAUGUCCCACAGCGUUUUCAUCUGCGGACGGGCCCUGGGGCUGCUCCCAGAUCCUGGCUGCUCCCGGAUCCUGGCUGCUGUGACGGCUCUGCAGCCACUGGAGGUGGCGGUGGUCCUUGGGACAAACCUGAGAACCCGAGACCUCAGAGAGGAACCCUGCGGCGUGGGAAGCGAUCCAGGACCUCUGAGGUGUCCCCGAGCUUCCUCAGACGGAGGCCACGGACAUCACAAGGCCUUUUCAGGUGGAGGGACACGCCACAGGCUGGUGUUUGGUGAGCAGUAGAGUUCGUGUGAGCCACAUCGAGGAUCAUCACUCCACACUCGGCUUCUAUUUUAGGCGUGUGACUCAGGGAGAUGCAUUUGCUUCGCGUUGGGAUCUGACUUCAUAUCCUGGACCCCGAGCUCCCCCUCCAGGGAUGUAAUUACUGUGCUUACAUCUCAGACUGGCUUCAUCAGCGUUUGCAAAGCAGAGGACCAGCUAGAAAACCGUGACCACAAAAACCGCCUGAAGACCAGAACAGCUCGUAAAAUCUCCACAUUCCUGGCCUGGCUACAGACUCAAAGGGUGACUCAGAACCACACCAACCCCCACUGCGCGGGGACAGGCGCAGAGCGAGCCCUGAGUGCUCCGAGGGGAAGGGUCGCUGUGUGGAAAGACGCUGUCUCCAGGCAUUUCUCCAUGAACUGCAGCGAGCGAAUGGCAAAUCAGGAAUCAGCAGAGAUGCAACAGCAUGGAUGGAACUGGAGAGCAUUAUGCUAAGUGAAAUAAGCCAGGCAGUGAAAGAAAAA
Molecule: RNA transcript, 909 nt
Organism: Myotis brandtii (Brandt's bat)
Lineage: Eukaryota; Metazoa; Chordata; Mammalia; Chiroptera; Vespertilionidae
Exons: 2
Source: RefSeq, a predicted model, not a curated record